AGCGGUGAAAUGCGUAGAUAUCGAACGGAACGCCGAUGGUGAAGACAGCUGGCUGGGCCUGUCCUGACGCUGAGGCACGAAAGCGUGGGGAGCAAACAGGAUUAGAUACCCUGGUAGUCCACGCCGUAAACGAUGCGCACUGGAUCGGUGCAGGUCUGACCCUGUGCUGGUCGGAGAGAAAUUGGUAAGUGCGCCGCCUGGGGAGUACGGUCGCAAGGCUAAAACUCAAAGGAAUUGACGGGGGCUCACACAAGCGGUGGAGCAUGUUGCUUAAUUCGAUGCAACGCGAAGAACCUUACCUGGGCUUGACAUGUAUGGAUUAGCUUUUGGAAACAUAAGUGACGCCUUCGGGUGGAACAUACACAGGUGCUGCAUGGCUGUCGUCAGCUCGUGCUGUGAAGUGUCGGGUUAAGUCCCUUAACGAGCGCAACCCUUGUCGCUAGUUGCCAGCGAGUCAUGUCGGGGACUCUAGCGAGACUGCCGGUGUCAAACCGGAGGAAGGUGGGGAUGACGUCAAGUCCUCAUGGCCCUUACGCCCAGGGUGGCAAACGUGCUACAAUGGUACGGACAGAGCGACGCGAUGCCGCGAGGCGGAGCAAAUCGCAAAAACUGUGCCCCAGUUCGGAUUGCAGUCUGCAACUCGACUGCAUGAAGCCGGAAUCGCUAGUAAUCGCGGAUCAGCCACGCCGCGGUGAAUACGUUCCUGAGCCUUGUACACACCGCCCGUCAAGUCAUGGAAGCCGGGAGUGCCCGAAGUCGCCUCGAAUCAGGGGUGCCCACGGCAAGUUCGGUGACUGGGACUAAGUCGUAACAAGGUAGCCGUAGGAGAACCUGCGGCUGGAUCACCU
This 848-nucleotide ribosomal RNA is filed under the name uncultured bacterium. Its description in RNAcentral is "bacterial SSU rRNA". It matches the Rfam family "Bacterial small subunit ribosomal RNA", at positions 677 to 1528 of the family's 1533-position model. The record is from RNAcentral.